GACGAACGCUGGCGGCGUGCUUAACACAUGCAAGUCGAACGGAAAGGCCCUGCUUUUGUGGGGUGCUCGAGUGGCGAACGGGUGAGUAACACGUGAGUAACCUGCCCUUGACUUUGGGAUAACUUCAGGAAACUGGGGCUAAUACCGGAUAGGAGCUCCUGCUGCAUGGUGGGGGUUGGAAAGUUUCGGCGGUUGGGGAUGGACUCGCGGCUUAUCAGCUUGUUGGUGGGGUAGUGGCUUACCAAGGCUUUGACGGGUAGCCGGCCUGAGAGGGUGACCGGCCACAUUGGGACUGAGAUACGGCCCAGACGCCUACGGGAGGCAGCAGUGGAGAAUAUUGCGCAAUGGGCGGAAGCCUGAUGCAGCAACGCCGCGUGCGGGAUGACGGCCGUCGGGUUGUAAACCGCUUUCGCCUGUGACGAAGCGUGAGUGACGGUAAUGGGUAAAGAAGCACCGGCUAACUACGUG
RNAcentral lists this ribosomal RNA (468 nucleotides) under uncultured bacterium. RNAcentral's name for it is "partial 16S ribosomal RNA". It matches the Rfam family "Bacterial small subunit ribosomal RNA", at positions 28 to 507 of the family's 1533-position model. The record is from RNAcentral.